Molecule: ribosomal RNA, 1369 nt
Filed under: uncultured bacterium
Lineage: Bacteria
Description: bacterial SSU rRNA
Rfam family: Bacterial small subunit ribosomal RNA
Source: RNAcentral
GACGAACGCUGGCGGCGUGCCUAAUACAUGCAAGUAGAACGCUGAAGAGAGGAGCUUGCUCUUCUUGGAUGAGUUGCGAACGGGUGAGUAACGCGUAGGUAACCUGCCUUGUAGCGGGGGAUAACUAUUGGAAACGAUAGCUAAUACCGCAUAACAAUGGAUGACACAUGUCAUUUAUUUGAAAGGGGCAAUUGUUCCACUACAAGAUGGACCUGCGUUGUAUUAGCUAGUAGGUGAGGUAAUGGCUCACCUAGGCGACGAUACAUAGCCGACCUGAGAGGGUGAUCGGCCACACUGGGACUGAGACACGGCCCAGACUCCUACGGGAGGCAGCAGUAGGGAAUCUUCGGCAAUGGGGGCAACCCUGACCGAGCAACGCCGCGUGAGUGAAGAAGGUUUUCGGAUCGUAAAGCUCUGUUGUAAGUCAAGAACGGGUGUGAGAGUGGAAAGUUCACACUGUGACGGUAGCUUACCAGAAAGGGACGGCUAACUACGUGCCAGCAGCCGCGGUAAUACGUAGGUCCCGAGCGUUGUCCGGAUUUAUUGGGCGUAAAGCGAGCGUAGGCGGUUUGAUAAGUCUGAAGUUAAAGGCUGUGGCUCAACCAUAGUUCGCUUUGGAAACUGUCAAACUUGAGUGCAGAAGGGGAGAGUGGAAUUCCAUGUGUAGCGGUGAAAUGCGUAGAUAUAUGGAGGAACACCGGUGGCGAAAGCGGCUCUCUGGUCUGUAACUGACGCUGAGGCUCGAAAGCGUGGGGAGCGAACAGGAUUAGAUACCCUGGUAGUCCACGCCGUAAACGAUGAGUGCUAGGUGUUGGAUCCUUUCCGGGAUUCAGUGCCGCAGCUAACGCAUUAAGCACUCCGCCUGGGGAGUACGACCGCAAGGUUGAAACUCAAAGGAAUUGACGGGGGCCCGCACAAGCGGUGGAGCAUGUGGUUUAAUUCGAAGCAACGCGAAGAACCUUACCAGGUCUUGACAUCCCGAUGCUAUUUCUAGAGAUAGAAAGUUACUUCGGUACAUCGGUGACAGGUGGUGCAUGGUUGUCGUCAGCUCGUGUCGUGAGAUGUUGGGUUAAGUCCCGCAACGAGCGCAACCCCUAUUGUUAGUUGCCAUCAUUCAGUUGGGCACUCUAGCGAGACUGCCGGUAAUAAACCGGAGGAAGGUGGGGAUGACGUCAAAUCAUCAUGCCCCUUAUGACCUGGGCUACACACGUGCUACAAUGGUUGGUACAACGAGUUGCGAGUCGGUGACGGCGAGCUAAUCUCUUAAAGCCAAUCUCAGUUCGGAUUGUAGGCUGCAACUCGCCUACAUGAAGUCGGAAUCGCUAGUAAUCGCGGAUCAGCACGCCGCGGUGAAUACGUUCCCGGGCCU